ACGUAGGGGGCGAGCGUUAUUCGGAAUUACUGGGUGUAAAGGGUAUGUAGGCGGCCCUUCAAGUCGCGUGUCAAAGUCCAGUGCUCAACGCUGGGAGUGCACCUGAUACUGACAGGCUUGAGGGUUGGAGAGGUGAGCGGAAUUCCCGGUGUAGCGGUGAAAUGCGUAGAGAUCGGGAGGAACACCGGUGGCGAAGGCGGCCCCCUGGACAAAUACUGACGCUAAGGUGCGAAAGCGUGGGGAGCAAACAG
This 251-nucleotide ribosomal RNA is filed under the name uncultured prokaryote. Its description in RNAcentral is "partial 16S rRNA". It matches the Rfam family "Bacterial small subunit ribosomal RNA", at positions 525 to 775 of the family's 1533-position model. The record is from RNAcentral.